RNAcentral lists this transfer RNA (71 nucleotides) under Paralvinella palmiformis. RNAcentral describes it as "tRNA-Trp". Lineage: Eukaryota; Metazoa; Annelida; Polychaeta; Terebellida; Alvinellidae. The record is from RNAcentral.
AGAGCCUUAAGUUAAACAAAACUAUAAUCCUUCAAAGUUUAAAACAGAAACCUUAUAAUUUCUAGGCUCUG